GGGCCCGCACAAGCGGUGGAGUAUGUGGUUUAAUUCGAUGCAACGCGAAGAACCUUACCAGGGUUUGACAUCCUGCGAAUCUCUUGGAAACAGGAGAGUGCCUUCGGGAACGCAGUGACAGGUGGUGCAUGGCUGUCGUCAGCUCGUGUCGUGAGAUGUUGGGUUAAGUCCCGCAACGAGCGCAACCCACGUCUUUAGUUGCCAGCAUUUAGUUGGGCACUCUAGAGAGACUGCCGGUGAUAAACCGGAGGAAGGUGUGGAUGACGUCAAGUCCUCAUGGCCCUUACGUGUUGGGCUACACACGUGCUACAAUGGUAUCUACAACAGGAAGCAAGACGGCGACGUUAAGCAAAUCCUUAAAAGAUACCUCAGUUCGGAUUGUACUCUGCAACUCGAGUACAUGAAGCUGGAAUUACUAGUAAUCGU
This 426-nucleotide ribosomal RNA is filed under the name uncultured bacterium. RNAcentral's name for it is "bacterial SSU rRNA". It matches the Rfam family "Bacterial small subunit ribosomal RNA", at positions 917 to 1345 of the family's 1533-position model. The record is from RNAcentral.